This 1755-nucleotide ribosomal RNA is filed under the name Metarhizium anisopliae. RNAcentral describes it as "SSU rRNA". It matches the Rfam family "Eukaryotic small subunit ribosomal RNA", at positions 74 to 1385 of the family's 1831-position model. The record is from RNAcentral. Lineage: Eukaryota; Fungi; Ascomycota; Sordariomycetes; Hypocreales; Clavicipitaceae.
UUAUACAGCGAAACUGCGAAUGGCUCAUUAUAUAAGUUAUCGUUUAUUUGAUAGUACCUUACUACUUGGAUAACCGUGGUAAUUCUAGAGCUAAUACAUGCUAAAAAUCCCGACUUCGGAAGGGAUGUAUUUAUUAGAUACAAAACCAAUGCCCCUCGGGGCUCUCUGGUGAUUCAUGAUAACUCGUCGAAUCGCACGGCCUUGCGCCGGCGAUGGUUCAUUCAAAUUUCUUCCCUAUCAACUUUCGAUGUUUGGGUAGUGGCCAAACAUGGUGGCAACGGGUAACGGAGGGUUAGGGCUCGACCCCGGAGAAGGAGCCUGAGAAACGGCUACUACAUCCAAGGAAGGCAGCAGGCGCGCAAAUUACCCAAUCCCGAUACGGGGAGGUAGUGACAAUAAAUACUGAUACAGGGCUCUUUUGGGUCUUGUAAUUGGAAUGAGUACAAUUUAAAUCCCUUAACGAGGAACAAUUGGAGGGCAAGUCUGGUGCCAGCAGCCGCGGUAAUUCCAGCUCCAAUAGCGUAUAUUAAAGUUGUUGUGGUUAAAAAGCUCGUAGUUGAAUCUUGGGCCUGGCUGGCCGGUCCGCCUCACCGCGUGUACUGGUCCGGCCGGGUCUUUCACUCUGCGGAACCACAUGCCCUUCAGUGGGUGUGGCGGGGAAGCAGGACGUUUACUUUGAAAAAAUUAGAGUGCUCUAAGCAGCCAAUGCUCGGAUACAUUAGCAUGGAAUAAUAAAAUAGGACGCGCGGUUCUAUUUUGUUGGUUUCUAGGACCGCCGUAAUGAUGAAUAGGGACAGUCGGGGCAUCAGUAUUCAGUGUCAGAGUGAAAUCUGGAUCUACUGAGACUACUACUGCGAAAGCAUUUGCCAAGGAUGUUUUCAUUAAUCAGGAACGAAAGUUAGAGGAUCGAAGACGAUCAGAUACCGUCGUAGUCUUAACCAUAACUAUGCCGACUAGGGAUCGGACGAUGUUAUUUAGUUGACUCGUUCGGCACUUACGAGAAAUCAAAGUGCUUGGGCUCCAGGGGGAGUAUGGUCGCAAGGCUGAAACUUAAAGAAAUUGACGGAAGGGCACCACCAGGGGUUAACGUGAACUGUAAGCCGCAGUCAACUCUGCCCCCAAAAGCUGCCCGAUAAAAAGGGUCGGUGGUGUGCCUAAACUAAGAGCUAUGUCCCUGUGCUGUGGUCCCUCGGGGGGAGCACGGGGGCGACACCCUCAAACUGACGGGGAACCCCUAAAGCCAUCCGCUCCGGCCUCCGCUUAGGAAACUCUGCGAGAGGCACCAGGUUAACGGCCUGGGUAUCGGAACAAAUUCGCGGUGGAUGUUACAAUGGGCAAUCCGCAGCCAAGCCCCUAAGUGCACUGUAAUUGCAGCGCAUACGGGGAAGGUUCAGAGACUUGACGGGGGUGGGUGGGUGCGCACGUCCGCCGCACGGCGGGCGUGUUCUUCAAAGCAUUAUGCCCGCUUAAGAUAAAGUCCCGGAGGGGCGCUGAAAGGUGCUCCCUCCACAGCUUGUUCGCACUGAACAGGCCCUGUAAACUAAACGGGAGCCUGCGGCUUAAUUUGACUCAACACGGGGAAACUCACCAGGUCCAGACACAAUGAGGAUUGACAGAUUGAGAGCUCUUUCUUGAUUUUGUGGGUGGUGGUGCAUGGCCGUUCUUAGUUGGUGGAGUGAUUUGUCUGCUUAAUUGCGAUAACGAACGAGACCUUAACCUGCUAAAUAGUCAGUAUUGCUAUGGCAGUACGCGGGC